AUUGAACGCUGGCGGAAUGCUUUACACAUGCAAGUCGAACGAUGAACCUUAGCUUGCUAGGGGGCUUAGUGGCGAACGGGUGAGUAAUAUAUCGGAACGUGCCUUGUAAUGGGGGAUAACUAGUCGAAAGAUUAGCUAAUACCGCAUACGCCCUGAGGGGGAAAGUAGGGGAUCUUCGGACCUUACGUUAUGAGAGCGGCCGAUAUCUGAUUAGCUAGUUGGUGGGGUAAUGGCCUACCAAGGCGACGAUCAGUAGCUGGUCUGAGAGGACGACCAGCCACACUGGAACUGAGACACGGUCCAGACUCCUACGGGAGGCAGCAGUGUGGAAUGUUGGACAAUGGGCGCAAGCCUGAUCCAGCCAUUCCGCGUGAGUGAAGAAGGCCUUCGGGUUGUAAAGCUCUUUCGCAAGGGAAGAAAACUUACCAUCGAAUAAAUGGUGAGGCUGACGGUACCUUGAUAAGAAGCACCGGCUAACUACGUG
Molecule: ribosomal RNA, 484 nt
Filed under: uncultured bacterium
Lineage: Bacteria
Description: partial 16S ribosomal RNA
Rfam family: Bacterial small subunit ribosomal RNA
Source: RNAcentral